Molecule: ribosomal RNA, 591 nt
Filed under: uncultured crenarchaeote
Lineage: Archaea; Thermoproteati; Thermoproteota
Description: bacterial SSU rRNA
Rfam family: Archaeal small subunit ribosomal RNA
Source: RNAcentral
GAAACUUAAAGGAAUUGGCGGGGGAGCACCACAAGGGGUGAAGCCUGCGGUUCAAUUGGAGUCAACGCCAGAAAUCUUACCCGGAGAGACAGCAGAAUGAAGGUCAAGCUGAAGACUUUACCAGACAAGCUGAGAGGUGGUGCAUGGCCGUCGCCAGCUCGUGCCGUGAGAUGUCCUGUUAAGUCAGGUAACGAGCGAGAUCCCUGCCUCUAGUUGCCACCAUUACUCUCAGGAGUAGUGGGGCGAAUUAGCGGGACCGCCGCAGUUAAUGCGGAGGAAGGAAGGGGCCACGGCAGGUCAGUAUGCCCCGAAACUCUGGGGCCACACGCGGGCUGCAAUGGUAAUGACAAUGGGUUCCAAAUCCGAAAGGAGGAGGUAAUCCCCAAACAUUACCACAGUUAUGACUGAGGGCUGCAACUCGCCCUCACGAAUAUGGAAUCCCUAGUAACUGCGUGUCAUUAUCGCGCGGUGAAUACGUCCCUGCUCCUUGCACACACCGCCCGUCGUUUCAUUGAAGUGAGCUUUUAGCGAGGUGACGUCUGAUUGGCGUUAUCGAACUUGAGGUUCGUGACAAGGGAAAAGUCGUAACAA